UUAAAUGAAGCAGAGCGUACGGCGGAUGUCUUGGCAUACAGAGCGGAAGAAGGACGCAGAAAACGGCGAAACGCCACGAGGAGACGUACACAGUCAACGAAUCGUGGGUAUCCGAAUGGGGCAACCCGUCUGAGGGGAAAUCCUCAGACAUCCGCGGAUGAAUAGAUAGUCCGUGAGAAGGCAACCCAGGGAAUUGAAACAUCUUAGUACCUGGAGGAGAAGAAAACAACAGUGAUUCCGGGAGUAGUGGCGAGCGAAACCGGAGGAGCCUAAACCGGUCUUAGGACCGGGGUUGAAGGACCGCAGGAAGUCACUUUGGAAUGUAGUCGAAUGAGAUUGAAAGCUCAGUCACAGAGGGUGCAAACCCCGUAGACGAAACACGAAGAAGGACAAGCGGUAUCCUGAGUACGACGGGGCACGUGGAACCCUGUCGGAAUCCGCCUGGACCAUCAGGCAAGGCUAAAUACUCCUGUAUGACCGAUAGUGCACCAGUACCAUGAGGGAAAGAUGAAAAGAACCGCGGGAGCGGAGUGAAACAGAUCCUGAAACCGUAUGCUUACAAAAAGCCAGAGCACAUUAAGGUGUGAUGGCGUGCCUUUUGUAGAAUGAACCGGCGAGUUAUCCUUGCAUGCGAGGUUAAGCUGACAAAGCGGAGCCGCAGCGAAAGCGAAUCUGAACAGGGUGAAAGUAUGCAGGGAUAGACCCGAAGCCGUAGUGAUCUAGUCAUGAGCAGGUUGAAGGAUGGGUAACACCAUCUGGAGGACCGAACCGACCCUCGUUGAAAAGCUGGCGGAUGACUUGUGAUUAGCGGAGAAAUUCCAAUCGAACACGGCGAUAGCUGGUUCUCCCCGAAAUAGCUUUAGGGCUAGCGUUGAAGGAAGACAUAUGGAGGUAGAGCACUGAAUUGUCGCGGGUGGCACCUAGCCAUACCAACAUAAAUCAAACUCCGAAUGCCAUGUGUUAAUAUUCAGCAGUCAGACUGUGGGUGAUAAGGUCCAUGGUCAAAAGGGAAACAGCCCAGAUCAUCAGAUAAGGUCCCAGAAUCUGCGCCAAGUGGAAAAGGAUGUGGAGACGCGUAAACAGCUAGGAGGUUGGCUCAGAAGCAGCCAUCCUUAAAAGAGUGCGUAACAGCUCACUAGUCGAGUAUCUCUGCGCCGAAAAUUAACCGGGGCUAAGCGCAGUACCGAAUCUAUGGAUUUGUGCAGCAAUGUAUAAGUGGUAGGGGAGCGUUCCAUACAGCGUUGAAGGCAUACCGUAAGGAGUGUUGGAGCGUAUGGAAGUGAGAAUGCCGGUGUGAGUAGCGAGAUGCAGGUGAGAAUCCUGCACACCGAUAGACCAAGGAUUCCAGGGGAAGGUUCGUCCGCCCUGGGUAAGUCGGGACCUAAGGCGAGGCCGAAAGGCGUAGUCGAUGGACAGCAGGUUGAUAUUCCUGCACCCGCAGGUCAAAUGAUGGAGUGACGGAAGCGUAAAGUACCAGCCCUUAAUGGAUUGGGCAGGGCAUAAUGAGAGGGCCGACAGUGAAAUGCGUUGGCGGAAAUCGAGUUAUGAACCGAGAGAAAGAGCGAUCAAGUAUCGAAGGGUAUGGAGCGAUUCCCAGGAAAAGCUUCUAGUGUUAAUUGACCAGCGGCCCGUACCAAAACCGACACAGGUGGUCAAGGCGAAUAGCCUGAGGUGAGCGAGAGAACUGUUGCCAAGGAACUCGGCAAAUUGGUCCCGUACGUUAGCUAUAAGGGACGCUCGAAAGAGCCGCAGUGAAAAGGCCCUAGCAACUGUUUAACUAAAACAUAGCUCUCUGCGAAGUCGCAAGACGAAGUAUAGGGGGUGACACCUGCCCGGUGCUGGAAGGUCAAGGGGAUCCGUUAGCCGCAAGGCGAAGCAGUGAACCGAAGCCCCAGUGAACGGCGGCCGUAACUAUAACGGUCCUAAGGUAGCGAAAUUCCUUGUCAGGUAAGUUCUGACCCGCACGAAAGGUGUAAUGAUUUGGGCACUGUCUCGGCAGCAGACUCGGUGAAAUCUUAGUACCUGUGAAGAUGCAGGUUACCCGCAACUAGACGGAAAGACCCCAUGGAGCUUUACUGCAGUCUGCUAUUGAGUUUCGGUUGGAUAUGCACAGGAUAGGUGGGAGACAAAGAGACAGGUCUUUAGGGAUCUGAGGAGUCAAUGUUGGGAUACCACUCUUAUUCAAUUGAAAUUCUAACUCAGGACAGUGAACCUGACUGAGGACCGUGGCAGAUGGGCAGUUUGACUGGGGCGGUCGCCUCCCAAAGAGUAACGGAGGCGCUCAAAGGUACUCUCAGAAUGGUUGGAAAUCAUUCAGCGAGCGCAAACGCAGAAGAGUGCUUGACUGCGAGACAGACAAGUCGAGCAGGGACGAAAGUCGGAGUUAGUGAUCCGGCGGUGCAGAAUGGAAUGGCCGUCGCUUAACGGAUAAAAGCUACCCUGGGGAUAACAGGCUGAUCUCGCCCAAGAGUUCACAUCGACGGCGAGGUUUGGCACCUCGAUGUCGGCUCAUCGCAUCCUGGAGGUGAAUUCGCUUCCAAGGGUUGGGCUGUCCGCCCAUUAAAGCGGUACGCGAGCUGGGUUCAGAACGUCGUGAGACAGUUCGGUCCCUAUCUGUUGUGGGCGUUGGAAAUUUGAGGAGAGCUGCCCCUAGUACGAGAGGACCAGGGUGGACGUUCCUACGGUGCACCAGUUAUCACGCCAGUGGUACAGCUGGAUAGCUGAGAACGGAUUGGAUAAACGCUGAAGGCAUCUAAGCGCGAAACCAACUCCAAGAUAAGAUUUCCCAUUGAUUCAAUCAAAUAAGACCCCUUGAAGACGACGAGGUAGAUAGGUCAGGGAUGUAAGUGAAGUGAUUCAUUGAGUUGACUGAUACUAAUAGGUCGAAGGUUUAAUCAA
This 2898-nucleotide ribosomal RNA is filed under the name Lactimicrobium massiliense. RNAcentral's name for it is "bacterial LSU rRNA". It matches the Rfam family "Bacterial large subunit ribosomal RNA". The record is from RNAcentral. Lineage: Bacteria; Bacillati; Bacillota; Erysipelotrichia; Erysipelotrichales; Erysipelotrichaceae.